AAAAAAUUUUUGUUUUAAAUAAAUAAAAAUAACAAUAAAUUCUAGUUCCUCGAAAGUAACUUCCAGUGAAGUUUAAAACAUUUCCACACACUCCAAAAGAUAAGACAGUUUAUCCUUUACCUUAUGUAGAACUUCAAACACAGGGUGUCCAGUUUAAGGCAGUUCCCAGUGAGUGUGGCUUCCUGCCCACCAGUCGCCUCCUGAAAGUUCACGCGAGGACAGGAGGAGGAAGCCCCGAGGCCACCGUGGACUCAUCUCUGGCUACACCGCAGGCUCAGGUCUAAGUACCUCAGAUGUAUCACCUAAGUUAAUCCUCCCCACAAUCCCAGGAGGUUGUUAUCACCCCUGUUUCACAGAUGGGGAGGCCAAGGCUCAGAGUCAUGAGGUCAUUUGCCCAAGGUCACUCGCUUGUGCGUGGAAGAGCCCACAUUGGACUGGAACGGUGAGUGCAGAAGCAGCCCUCUGACACGCGAGGCCGUUUGCCCCCCGGGGCUGCGGAGAACACAUACGUGAUCAGACCUGCGCAUCUGCCCCACCUUCCUUAUUCCCAGUUCUGAGACCACCGUUUCCCAGGCUCACAGACCCCGUCAUCCCCGGGCAGACCCCCCAAGUCUGGGCGCUCCCUCUCUGUUUCACGCUCAGACCGUUCUCUGACCUCCCGUCUGCCCCCUCGCCAUAUUAAUCUGCUAGAACACCGAGGGGACGAUCUCACAUCCUACUCAAAAACGUUCAUUCCUUUCCUACAGAGUGGAGUUCAGGCCCGGCACUCAGGAUUCUGCCACAGACCAGCUCCCCCCUGUUGCCUCAGUAUCCCCCGGGUUCCCCAGCGCUCCGGUUCCCCUCUCUUGACGGCAGGUUUCCUCUGGGAGCGGCUCGCCCCGGUACUCCCGCGUGGCACAUACAGGCGACCUUGGCUCUGUGACCUGAGGUGACUCCAUCAACUUCUCUGCGCCUCUGUGAUUUCACCUGUGAAAAGGAGGGAUUGCCCUCUGCUCCGCUUGCCUCCUGGGCCGUCCGGAUCCAGGGGGACCUCACAUGUCGAAGAAAUAGAACAGGAAUAGCAGAAGCCUGGCUGGACGCCUCAGCCCCUGUUCCUGCUUUCAAGGCGAAUGCAUUUUGUUUGCAUACGUGUGCAUGAAGGAGAAUGAAAUAGUACAAAGUAUCAAGCAAACUCAUAAUGGGCUACCUUGGGAGGGGGCAGGGGCGGGAGGAACCAGGUUUGAGGGUGGGGCAGUUCAUUUCCCUAGAAUACAUAUUCAUAUCUUUGCAGUUAUUUUAGUCUUUUUCAAAGAUAAUUGCACAGCAUUGAAUUGCACUGCCGGAUCCGUGAGGCAGACACAGUCCUUCAGGAGGAAGGAGAGGAGCUACAGUGGUCCGAAGGAUUUUACGGACUGGGAAACUUGCCUGUGGCGACGAGGAGGACCGAUUUGGAUAAAUGGAAGGGAGCAAAGGCAUUCUCCCAGGGGACCAGCAUGAGCAAAGGUCCUGAGGCCAGACCGAAGAGGAAGGAGUGAAGGGGAGGGGUGGUCAGGGAGAAGAGAACCCAGAUUCAUACUGGAGAUCUGGGGAUUCGCGCACCCAGGGACACACUGGUUGCUAGGUCAGUGUGCAUUUCCCGAGUAUGCAAGGCCUAUAACAAAUACCAGAAAUGUUAGCACUUGUUUCAUUUAAGCGACAAUGGAGAAAGAAACUCUCAGGUUUAAAGGGGGGGGGGGGGGAGAAAGCCAAAACCAUAAGCAAAAAGACCCAGGGAGAGUUAAACCACAGAAAAUGUAGAGAGAAGCCGUGCUCAGGGAUUUAAUAAAAUUUCCACAUCUUAAAAGUGCACUGGGCGGGGUCUGGGAAGUGAAAGACGGAGUCAUUUGUACCAUCCUUUUCUCGCCCAGGAGAGCCAACUAAGCCACCCCAAACGUGGGCUUUGGCUGACGGAGGAAGCAGUGGGGGAGCUGCACCUGUGCAGGGCGCAAAUCUGACCUCUCCCCGCCCAGACCAAGGAGGGUGGCAGGAGAUGCACUCGGAGCUCAAGACCACCAGCUUCCCACCCUCUCUGGACGCCGCUCCCUCCCAAACUGCCCAGGGACAGACGGGGCUGAAGCCUGCCGUUCUGGGCUAGAGCCCCGUCCAGGAGCCCCAAGACUGGCCAUGGGAUUGGGGGGUGAGUCCCUGACCCCUCCCAGCCCUGGGCCCCCAUCCCUGAAACGAAGGGACGGGGCCCCUGGCACCUUGCAGCGGUGGCCGGGAGGGUGAAGUGAGACCAGGGCUCGGUCGGGGCACCGCUCUCCGUCCAGGCCGUUUGCUCACAGCACGAAUGAGAAAGUUGGAUGCGGCAGUGGCCAUGAGAGCAGGCUCCUAGUGACAAAGAAUGCUUCCUCUGCGAGACCCCUCGCAAGCAGCCUCUCCUGGGUCUCCCGGACUCCCAGCCCCACCAGGCCGCGUGUGAACCCCAGUGGGGGAGGCAAGAGCCAACCCACUUCCGAAGCUGUCCUGGGAGGCACCCCACGCAGGCUGUGGGAAAUGGCGCCCAUUUCCAGGGGGUCCACCCGACAGACUUACCCGCAAACUUGGGGACCCACGUGUGUGAGAUGGAGGCCUCGCGCCAACAAGAGAGAGACAGAGCAUGAACGGGGAGAGAUGGAGAC
Long non-coding RNA from Lynx canadensis (Canada lynx), 2639 nucleotides. RefSeq lists it as uncharacterized. The transcript has 3 exons. NCBI's taxonomy places the organism in Eukaryota, Metazoa, Chordata, Mammalia, Carnivora, Felidae. The record is from RefSeq and is a predicted model, not a curated record.